Molecule: ribosomal RNA, 739 nt
Filed under: Lentilactobacillus buchneri
Lineage: Bacteria; Bacillati; Bacillota; Bacilli; Lactobacillales; Lactobacillaceae
Description: bacterial SSU rRNA
Rfam family: Bacterial small subunit ribosomal RNA
Source: RNAcentral
CAUGCAAGUCGAACGCGUCUCCGUUAAUGAUUUUAGGUGCUUGCACUUGAAAGAUUUAACAUUGAGACGAGUGGCGAACUGGUGAGUAACACGUGGGUAACCUGCCCUUGAAGUAGGGGAUAACACUUGGAAACAGGUGCUAAUACCGUAUAACAACCAAAACCACCUGGUUUUGGUUUAAAAGACGGCUUCGGCUGUCACUUUAGGAUGGACCCGCGGCGUAUUAGCUUGUUGGUAAGGUAACGGCCUACCAAGGCGAUGAUACGUAGCCGACCUGAGAGGGUAAUCGGCCACAUUGGGACUGAGACACGGCCCAAACUCCUACGGGAGGCAGCAGUAGGGAAUCUUCCACAAUGGACGAAAGUCUGAUGGAGCAACGCCGCGUGAGUGAUGAAGGGUUUCGGCUCGUAAAACUCUGUUGUUGGAGAAGAACAGGUGUCAGAGUAACUGUUGACAUCUUGACGGUAUCCAACCAGAAAGCCACGGCUAACUACGUGCCAGCAGCCGCGGUAAUACGUAGGUGGCAAGCGUUGUCCGGAUUUAUUGGGCGUAAAGCGAGCGCAGGCGGUUUUUUAGGUCUGAUGUGAAAGCCUUCGGCUUAACCGGAGAAGUGCAUCGGAAACCGGGAGACUUGAGUGCAGAAGAGGACAGUGGAACUCCAUGUGUAGCGGUGAAAUGCGUAGAUAUAUGGAAGAACACCAGUGGCGAAGGCGGCUGUCUGGUCUGUAACUGACGCUGA